This 447-nucleotide ribosomal RNA is filed under the name uncultured organism. RNAcentral describes it as "partial 16S ribosomal RNA". It matches the Rfam family "Bacterial small subunit ribosomal RNA", at positions 334 to 797 of the family's 1533-position model. The record is from RNAcentral.
CACUCCUACGGGAGGCAGCAGUGGGGAAUAUUGGACAAUGGGCGCAAGCCUGAUCCAGCCAUGCCGCGUGAGUGAUGAAGGCCCUAGGGUUGUAAAGCUCUUUUGUGCGGGAAGAUAAUGACGGUACCGCAAGAAUAAGCCCCGGCUAACUUCGUGCCAGCAGCCGCGGUAAUACGAAGGGGGCUAGCGUUGCUCGGAAUCACUGGGCGUAAAGGGUGCGUAGGCGGGUCUUUAAGUCAGGGGUGAAAUCCUGGAGCUCAACUCCAGAACUGCCUUUGAUACUGAAGAUCUUGAGUUCGGGAGAGGUGAGUGGAACUGCGAGUGUAGAGGUGAAAUUCGUAGAUAUUCGCAAGAACACCAGUGGCGAAGGCGGCUCACUGGCCCGAUACUGACGCUGAGGCACGAAAGCGUGGGGAGCAAACAGGAUUAGAAACCCUAGUAGUCCCA